RNAcentral lists this signal recognition particle RNA (352 nucleotides) under Macaca fascicularis (crab-eating macaque). RNAcentral describes it as "Metazoan signal recognition particle RNA (ENSMFAG00000011995.2)". It matches the Rfam family "Metazoan signal recognition particle RNA". Rfam says of the family: The signal recognition particle (SRP) is a universally conserved ribonucleoprotein. It is involved in the co-translational targeting of proteins to membranes. The record is from Rfam by way of RNAcentral. Lineage: Eukaryota; Metazoa; Chordata; Mammalia; Primates; Cercopithecidae.
GCCAGGCAUGGUACUACAUGCCUGUAGUCCCAGCUACCUGGGAGACUAAAGCAGGAAAAUUGCUUGAGUCCAGGAGUUUGAGGCCACAGUGAACUAUGAACAUGCCACUGCACUCUAGCCUGGGCAACAGGAAAUAGAGUGAGACCCCAUCUCAAAAAAAAAAAAAAAAAAAAGUUCACCAUCAAUAUGUUGACCUCCCAGGAGCAGGAGACCACUAGGUUGCCUAAGGAGAGGUUAAUCGGCCCAAGUCAGAAAAAGAGCAGGCCAAAAAUCCCAUGCUGAUGUGUAGUGGGCUAACACUUGUGAAGCCACUGUGCUCUACCCUGGGCAAUAUAACAAGACCUCAUUUCUU